This 337-nucleotide unclassified non-coding RNA is filed under the name uncultured Archaeosporales. RNAcentral's name for it is "sequence contains 18S rRNA gene". The record is from RNAcentral. Lineage: Eukaryota; Fungi; Glomeromycota; Glomeromycetes; Archaeosporales. RNAcentral also lists the same sequence under 1 other name.
CCCAACUAUCCCUAUUAAUCAUUACGGCGGUUCUAGAAACCAACAAAAUAGCCCCACGCGUCCUAUUUCAUUAUUCCAUGCUAAUGUAUCCGAGCAUGCGCCUGCUUUGAACACUCUAAUUUUUUCAAGGUAAUGGUCCUGGUUCCCCGACACACCCAACAAAGGACAUGCCGACUCACCAGAAGGAUAGGCCCGGCGUCGGAACAGUGCUCACCCGGAGGGCGGACCGCCCGGCCAGACCCAAAAUUCAACUACGAGCUUUUUAACUGCAACAACUUUAAUAUACGCUAUUGGAGCUGGAAUUACCGCGGCUGCUGGCACCAGACUUGCCCUCCAA